Pelobates cultripes (western spadefoot toad) is the source of this 212-nucleotide non-coding RNA. Lineage: Eukaryota; Metazoa; Chordata; Amphibia; Anura; Pelobatidae. The record is from the annotation of a GenBank genome assembly.
AUUCCUACACAUAUUUAAUCCCUCAAUGUUAUAUUUAUGGAAGGAUCAGAGUGGACAGUCCCCCCAGGUAUAAAGGUAUAGCUCAAAACCAUAUGAUUUACUAUAUAAAGGAACACUCUCCAACCACCAUAACAACAUCAUCACAAUAAAGUUGUUAUUGGGGCUGGAGUAUAGGCACCACCUCAGCUUCAGUGGACAAAACCCGUUUUACA